RNAcentral lists this ribosomal RNA (305 nucleotides) under uncultured bacterium. RNAcentral describes it as "partial 16S ribosomal RNA". It matches the Rfam family "Bacterial small subunit ribosomal RNA", at positions 505 to 808 of the family's 1533-position model. The record is from RNAcentral.
ACAGCAGCAGCCGCGGUAAUACGUAGGUCCCGAGCGUUGUCCGGAUUUAUUGGGCGUAAAGCGAGCGCAGGCGGUUAGAAAAGUCUGAAGUGAAAGGCAGUGGCUCAACCAUUGUAGGCUUUGGAAACUGUUUAACUUGAGUGCAGAAGGGGAGAGUAGAAUUCCAUGUGUAGCGGUGAAAUGCGUAGAUAUAUGGAGGAACACCGGUGGCGAAAGCGGCUCUCUGGUCUGUAACUGACGCUGAGGCUCGAAAGCGUGGGGAGCGAACAUGAUUAGAUACCCCAGUAGUCCCUGUCUCUUAUACA